RNAcentral lists this transfer RNA (77 nucleotides) under Acanthopleuribacter pedis. RNAcentral's name for it is "tRNA-Lys". It matches the Rfam family "tRNA". From Rfam's summary of the family: Transfer RNA (tRNA) molecules are approximately 80 nucleotides in length. Their secondary structure includes four short double-helical elements and three loops (D, anti-codon, and T loops). The record is from RNAcentral. Lineage: Bacteria; Pseudomonadati; Acidobacteriota; Holophagae; Acanthopleuribacterales; Acanthopleuribacteraceae.
GGAUCUGUAGCAAAAUUGCGUAAUGCACUCGGUUUUUACCCGAGGGAUUGAAGGUUCGAGUCCUUCCAGGUCCACCA